CCGGGGGAAAUCCAGAUAGUUUUGGCUCUCUCUCUCUCUCUCUCUAUCACAGAUGCUCUCUCUCUCUCUCUCCCUCUCUUUCCCUCUUUGAGCUCUCUCUCUCUCUCUGACGGUGACAGUGAAACUCACCGGCGUCGUUUGACUGGGUUCGGAAACGAAGGUGGUUUGGAUCCGAUGGAGGUUUUGCUCUGAAGACGCCGGUGGUUUGGCUCCGGUAACGACGAUGGUUUGGGUCCGGUGGGGGUUUUGCCUAGAAGACGCCGGCGAUUUGGCUCCGGCUCUCUCUCAAACCACUCUAUUAGAUCUGGAGGUUUGGGUCCGUUGGGGGAUAUCGGACAGUCACUUUCCUUUUUCCAUGUGGGGAUGAAGGGCUUCCUACUUUAUUGCAGGUGGGGAUGAAGGGCGAGCAGCUGGUUUGCCUUCAAUGGAUUCUUCACGGCGGAGAAUAUCAGGACCAGCUUUAAACCUUUAAAAUUUUUUGAGGCAGAGAAGUCCAGUUGCUAUUGUCUGAGAUACUGACAGAAGUACUUAGAAGAGAGAAGACAACACAUUUUGCAGAGAUAUGGAGUAUUAAGAAGAGAGAAGCCAAAUCCUAAAGCAUUUAGAAGAAGAGAAUGCAACAUUUUUUUUUUUUAUUUUAUGUAAUACUUAUUGAGAGGGCAUAUUUUUUGUGGAAUGGAGGUCAAUUCUUGAUCCAAAUUUCAUCCAUAUACAACAUGCCCAACAACUUGCUAAUGAAUCUCUUCAUUGUGUUGUUAUUGACUUAUUGCUUGAAAUGCCAAUCUUUGUAAUCUGAUGCAGGCCAAUUCCCAUUAAUGUACGAAGUACACGUUUCAAAUUCA
Long non-coding RNA from Corylus avellana, 842 nucleotides. RefSeq lists it as uncharacterized. The record is from RefSeq and is a predicted model, not a curated record. Lineage: Eukaryota; Viridiplantae; Streptophyta; Magnoliopsida; Fagales; Betulaceae.